UGGGGAAUAUUGCACAAUGGGGGAAUCCCUGAUGCAGCGACGCCGCGUGAACGAAGAAGGUAUUCGUAUCGUAAAGUUCUGUCCUAUGGGAAGAUAAUGACAGUACCAUAGAAGAAAGCUCCGGCUAAAUACGUGCCAGCAGCCGCGGUAAUACGUAUGGAGCGAGCGUUGUCCGGAAUUAUUGGGCGUAAAGGGUACGCAGGCGGUUUAAUAAGUCGAAUGUUAAAGAUCGGGGCUCAACCCCGCAAAGCAUUGGAAACUGAUAGACUUGAGUAGUGGAGAGGAAAGUGGAAUUCCUAGUGUAGUGGUGAAAUACGUAGAUAUUAGGAGGAAUACCAGUAGCGAAGGCGACUUUCUGGACACAAACUGACGCUGAGGUACGAAAGCGUGGGGAGCAAACAGG
This 403-nucleotide ribosomal RNA is filed under the name bacterium. RNAcentral describes it as "partial 16S ribosomal RNA". It matches the Rfam family "Bacterial small subunit ribosomal RNA", at positions 355 to 776 of the family's 1533-position model. The record is from RNAcentral.